RNAcentral lists this long non-coding RNA (608 nucleotides) under Mytilus galloprovincialis (Mediterranean mussel). The record is from RNAcentral. Lineage: Eukaryota; Metazoa; Mollusca; Bivalvia; Mytilida; Mytilidae.
UUAAGUACAUGAUAAGGUUCAUUUAUAAAAAAAUAAAGCGAAAUCCUAUAUUAGAAAAAAAAUUGGAUUUAUACCCAGGAGCCCCUUAAUCAUGAAAUGAAAUGAAAUAUACCCUACGUAUUAAAUAUAUACACUACAGGGAAGCAGUACUAAAACAUGGAAUUGACCUUGAUACAUACAGGAAGUUUUAGUUUUAAAACAAAUAUGGUCUAAAUAGGGCCUUAGAAAUCAGAAUUUGUGCAUAUAUAUUUGUACCAAAAGCACAUGUUUUAACAAAUAUGAGAAACAUAUAAGAAUCUGCAUGGAAAUACACGAUAGAAUAUGUGAGAAUGCAAUAUUGGAUAAGGUUCACUUGAAUUGGAGUGCACAUGUCUAAGUAAUGUGACAAAACAUUACUUACUAAACAUAUAUAUUGUCAAUAUAUGCAUAAGCGUAUUGAUUACAUGUAAUGAAAAUAUUAUUAUAGAUCUGUAAAGGAUGUUGUAAGCUUUUAGCUGCUUUAUCUUAUGAAUAAACUCAUUAUAGAUACCAGGACUAAAUUUUGUAUAUACGCCAGACGCGCGUUUCCUCUACAAAAGACUCAUCAGUGACGCUCGAAUCCACAAAAG